Molecule: long non-coding RNA, 389 nt
Filed under: Chinchilla lanigera (long-tailed chinchilla)
Lineage: Eukaryota; Metazoa; Chordata; Mammalia; Rodentia; Chinchillidae
Description: lncRNA (ENSCLAG00000026570.1)
Source: RNAcentral
AUCAGAUACAACAAAAGUAUUUAUUUUGAAGGAGCAAUUCUGUGUUGUAUGUGCAUAUUCUGUUGGAAGAAAAUGUUCAAACUGGAAGAGGAACAGGGAGGGAGGAAUAGGGAUAAAAAAUAAAAGAAAAGAAUGGAAGGAAAACAACAGAAAGAAAGUUCUCUAAAUGGAAAGGAGAAGAAUGACUGAAGGGAAGGGCAAGGAAAGGGGAAAAAGAAGAAAGAAGAUAUAUUAUGCAAAGAUUAAAGACAUCCUCAGCUUUGUACUGCUGCCGCCUGGACUGUUGACAGCCCAUUAAACAAAAGUCAUACAAGCUGUACAUCUUAACGCCUUGCUUCCAAAGUGCAACCAAAGUGACUGUUUUUAUAUGUAAGAGCAUAGCAUUUCUG